This 401-nucleotide ribosomal RNA is filed under the name uncultured bacterium. RNAcentral describes it as "bacterial SSU rRNA". It matches the Rfam family "Bacterial small subunit ribosomal RNA", at positions 362 to 758 of the family's 1533-position model. The record is from RNAcentral.
UAUCGGACAAUGGGCGCAAGCCUGAUCCAGCAAUACCGCGUGUGUGAAGAAGGCCUUAGGGUUGUAAAGCACUUUCAAUUGGGAGGAAAACCUGCCGGUCUAUACCCGGUAGCUUGACAUUACCUUUAGAAGAAGCACCGGCUAACUCCGUGCCAGCAGCCGCGGUAAUACGGAGGGUGCGAGCGUUAAUCGGAAUUACUGGGCGUAAAGCGUGCGUAGGCGGUUCGUUAAGUCAGAUGUGAAAGCCCUGGGCUCAACCUGGAACUGCAUUUGAAACUGGCGGACUAGAGUUUAGUAGAGGGGAGUGGAAUUUCAGGUGUAGCGGUGAAAUGCGUAGAUAUCUGAAGGAACACCAGUGGCGAAGGCGACUCCCUGGACUAGAACUGACGCUGAGUACGAAA